Molecule: ribosomal RNA, 550 nt
Filed under: uncultured Glomeromycotina
Lineage: Eukaryota; Fungi; Glomeromycota
Description: SSU rRNA
Rfam family: Eukaryotic small subunit ribosomal RNA
Source: RNAcentral
UUGGAGGGCAGUCUGGUGCCAGCAGCCGCGGUAAUUCCAGCUCCAAUAGCGUAUACUAAAGUUGUUGCAGUUAAAAAGCUCGUAGUUGAACUUCGGGGUCUACCCAUUGGUCAGGCUUAAUUGUCUGUACUGGUGAGAUGGAUCUCUGCCUUCUGAGGAACUUUCAUGCCAUUUAUUUGGUGUGAUGGGAAAUCAGGACUGUUACUUUGAAAAAAUUAGGGUGUUUAAAGCAGACUAUCGUCUGAAUACAUUAGCAUGGAAUAAUGAAAUAGGACGGACUGAUUCUAUUUCGUUGGUUUCUAGGAUCACCGUAAUGAUUAAUAGGGAUAGUUGGGGGCAUUAGUAUUCAAUUGUCAGAGGUGAAAUUCUUGGAUUUAUUGAAGACUAACUACUGCGAAAGCAUUUGCCAAGGAUGUUUUCAUUAAUCAAGAACGAAAGUUAGGGGAUCGAAGACGAUCAGAUACCGUCGUAGUCUUAACCAUAAACUAUGCCGACUAGGGAUCGGACGAAGUUAAUUUUAUAAUGACGCGUUCGGCGCCUUACGGGAAAC